RNAcentral lists this ribosomal RNA (312 nucleotides) under Triticum aestivum (bread wheat). RNAcentral describes it as "partial small subunit ribosomal RNA". The record is from RNAcentral. Lineage: Eukaryota; Viridiplantae; Streptophyta; Magnoliopsida; Poales; Poaceae.
AUGGGCGGUUCCCUGCUGAUGCCGCUGCUGAGCAGCGUGGCCGCCAAGGCCGCCGACGCGCUGGUGGGCGAGCUGCUGCGGGCGUGGGGGCUGGACGCGGCCCGCCGGAAGCUGGAGCUCCACCUCUCGGCCGUCCAACACAUCCUGCUCGACGCCGAGGCCAAGAGCCGCACCAACCCCGCCGUCCGCCGCCUACCAAGCCGACGACGUCCUCGACGACUUCCGCUACGAGGCGCUGCGCCGCCGUGCCGCCGCCCAGAUCCGCCGCCGCUCCGCGGCACGCAAGGUGAUGAGCUACCUCACCGUCAAUAG